Camellia sinensis is the source of this 343-nucleotide non-coding RNA. NCBI's taxonomy places the organism in Eukaryota, Viridiplantae, Streptophyta, Magnoliopsida, Ericales, Theaceae. The record is from RefSeq and is a predicted model, not a curated record.
GUUUGUCCGUUGUGAAUGCGUUAUCUGAGGCAUUAGAAGUUAUUGUUUGGCGUGAUGGGAAGGCAUACCAACAAAAAUAUUCCCGUGGAAAGCCUGUAACAACUUUAAUAUGUCAUGAGCUUCGAGAUGAAUCAAAAGAUCGUCAAGGGACACACAUUAAGUUUUGACCUGACAAAGAAGUAUUCACUACUGCAAUUCAGUUUGAUUACCCCACCAUUGCUGGACGAAUUAGGGAGCUUGCAUUUUUAAACCUUGAGGUGGAGUCAUUACAACCUGUUUGCAGUUCCAUUGCAUCUUUGAAACUUUUAAAUAUUGAUUUUAGCAUGUCUCUUGAAUUCUUCAU